GAUGAACGCUGGCGGCGUGCCUAAUACAUGCAAGUCGAGCGAACAGACGAGGAGCUUGCUCCUCUGACGUUAGCGGCGGACGGGUGAGUAACACGUGGAUAACCUACCUAUAAGACUGGGAUAACUUCGGGAAACCGGAGCUAAUACCGGAUAAUAUAUUGAACCGCAUGGUUCAAUAGUGAAAGACGGUUUUGCUGUCACUUAUAGAUGGAUCCGCGCCGCAUUAGCUAGUUGGUAAGGUAACGGCUUACCAAGGCGACGAUGCGUAGCCGACCUGAGAGGGUGAUCGGCCACACUGGAACUGAGACCCGGUCCAGACUCCUACGGGAGGAAGCAGUAGGGAAUCUUCCGCAAUGGGCGAAAGCCUGACGGAGCAACGCCGCGUGAGUGAUGAAGGUCUUCGGAUCGUAAAACUCUGUUAUUAGGGAAGAACAAAUGUGUAAGUAACUAUGCACGUCUUGACGGUACCUAAUCAGAAAGCCACGGCUAACUACGUG
Molecule: ribosomal RNA, 497 nt
Filed under: uncultured bacterium
Lineage: Bacteria
Description: partial 16S ribosomal RNA
Rfam family: Bacterial small subunit ribosomal RNA
Source: RNAcentral